UCCAGACUCCUACGGGAGGCAGCAGUGAGGAAUAUUGGUCAAUGGGCGCGAGCCUGAACCAGCCAAGUCGCGUGAGGGAAGACGGUCCUAUGGAUUGUAAACCUCUUUUGUCGGGGAGCAAAAGACGCCACGCGUGGCGUUCCGAGAGUACCCGGAGAAAAAGCAUCGGCUAACUCCGUGCCAGCAGCCGCGGUAAUACGGAGGAUGCGAGCGUUAUCCGGAUUUAUUGGGUUUAAAGGGUGCGCAGGCGGGCUGUUAAGCCGGCGGUAAAAAUUCAGGGCUCAACCCUGUCGAGCCGUCGGAACUGGCGGGCUGGAGUUGGAGAGAAGUACGCGGAAUGCGCGGUGUAGCGGUGAAAUGCUUAGAUAUCGCGCAGAACCCCGAUUGCGAAGGCAGCGUACCGGCUCCACACUGACGCUGAGGCACGAAAGCGUGGGUAUCGAACAGGAUUAGAUACCCCCGUA
Molecule: ribosomal RNA, 464 nt
Filed under: uncultured bacterium
Lineage: Bacteria
Description: bacterial SSU rRNA
Rfam family: Bacterial small subunit ribosomal RNA
Source: RNAcentral